CUUGGUCAUUUAGAGGAAGUAAAAGUCGUAACAAGGUUUCCGUAGGUGAACCUGCGGAAGGAUCAUUACUGGGUUACAGGGCGCUCCGGCGCCCGACACCAACCCUUCGUUUCCCGCUCGUCCUUUGGCGCAAAGGGGGCUCUCUGUACUGGGGGCCUCUGCCAAAAGCAACACUGAACAACGGUGCAGCCUGAAGUAAAAAGCAAAUAGUUAAAACUUUCAACAACGGAUCUCUUGGUUCUGGCAACGAUGAAGAACGCAGCGAAAUGCGAUAAGUAAUGUGAAUUGCAGAAUUCAGUGAAUCAUCGAAUCUUUGAACGCACAUUGCGCCCCCUGGUAUUCCGGGGGGCACACCUGUUCGAGCGCCAUUUCACCCCUCAAGCCUCGCUUGGUGAUGGGCCCUGCCCGCGGGCGGGCCUGAAACUCGUGGGCGUCGACGACCGGCUCCGAGCGUAGCAAAACCCUCGCUCGGGACCCCGGCCGCCGGCCGCCCCGGACCUCGUAACUUUUCACAAGGUUGGCCUCGGAUCAGGUGGGGAUACCCGCUGAACUUAAGCAUAUCAAUAAGCGGAGGAAAAGAAACCAACAGGGAUUGCCUCAGUAACGGCGAGUGAAGCGGCAACAGCUCAAAUUUGAAAUCUGGCUCCUUUGGCGCCCGAGUUGUAAUUCGUAGAGGGUGCUUCGAGUGAAGCCCCGGCCCAAGUCCCUUGGAACAGGACGUCAGAGAGGGUGAGAACCCCGUGUCCGGCCGGCGGCGCUCCUCGCGUGAAGCCCUUUCGACGAGUCGAGUUGUUUGGGAAUGCAGCUCUAAAUUGGUGGUAAAUUCCAUCUAAAGCUAAAUACCGGCCAGAGACCGAUAGCGCACAAGUAGAGUGAUCGAAAGAUGAAAAGCACUUUGAAAAGAGAGUCAAAAAGUACGUGAAAUUGUUGAAAGGGAAGCGCUUGCGGCCAGACUUGCCCGCGGAUGUUCAGCCCGUCUUUUGGCGGGUGCAUUCUUCCGCGGUCAGGCCAGCAUCGGUUUGGGCGGCCGGACAAAGGCCCUAGGAACGUGGCCCCCUCCGGGGGGUGUUAUAGCCUGGGGUGCAAUGCGGCCAGCCCGGACCGAGGAUCGCGCUCUGCUAGGAUGCUGGCGUAAUGGCCGUAAGCGGCCCGUCUUGAAACACGGACC
This 1168-nucleotide ribosomal RNA is filed under the name uncultured fungus. RNAcentral's name for it is "eukaryotic LSU rRNA". The stretch from base 519 to 1168 matches the Rfam family "Eukaryotic large subunit ribosomal RNA", at positions 1 to 667 of the family's 3401-position model. The record is from RNAcentral. Lineage: Eukaryota; Fungi.